RNAcentral lists this ribosomal RNA (257 nucleotides) under uncultured bacterium. Its description in RNAcentral is "partial 16S ribosomal RNA". It matches the Rfam family "Bacterial small subunit ribosomal RNA", at positions 524 to 776 of the family's 1533-position model. The record is from RNAcentral.
UACGGAGGAUCCAAGCGUUAUCCGGAUUCAUUGGGUUUAAAGGGUGCGUAGGCGGAAUGAUAAGUCAGUGGUGAAAGCCUGCAGCUUAACUGCAGAACUGCCAUUGAUACUGUCAAUCUUGAGUACAUUUGAUGUGGGCGGAAUGUGUCAUGUAGCGGUGAAAUGCUUAGAUAUGACACAGAACACCGAUUGCGAAGGCAGCUCACAAAACUGUAAACUGACGCUUGAGGCACGAAAAGCGUGGGGUAUCAAACAGG